This 381-nucleotide ribosomal RNA is filed under the name uncultured organism. Its description in RNAcentral is "bacterial SSU rRNA". It matches the Rfam family "Bacterial small subunit ribosomal RNA", at positions 367 to 762 of the family's 1533-position model. The record is from RNAcentral.
CGCAAUGGGCGAAAGCCUGACGGAGCGACGCCGCGUGGUUGAUGAAGUCCCUAGGGACGUAAAAACCUUUUAUGUGGGAGAAAGUCAUUGAUAGUACCACAUGAAUAAGGGGUUGCUAAACUCGUGCCAGCAGCAGCGGUAAUACGAGUGCCCCGAGCGUUAUCCGGAAUUAUUGGGCGUAAAGGGUGUGUAGGUGGUUGUGUUAGUCUUCUGUUAAAGCUCCCGGCUUAACCGGGAACAUGCAGAGGAAACGGCGCGACUAGAGGAUGUGAGAGGUAAGCGGAACUCAUGGUGUAGGGGUGAAAUCCGUUGAUAUCAUGGGGAACACCAAAAGCGAAGGCAGCUUACUGGCGCAUUCCUGACACUGGGACACGAAAGCGU